Molecule: ribosomal RNA, 440 nt
Filed under: uncultured bacterium
Lineage: Bacteria
Description: partial 16S ribosomal RNA
Rfam family: Bacterial small subunit ribosomal RNA
Source: RNAcentral
CCUACGGGAGGCAGCAGUGGGGAAUAUUGCACAAUGGGGGAAACCCUGAUGCAGCAACGCCGCGUGAGUGAUGACGGCCUUCGGGUUGUAAAGCUCUGUCUUCAGGGACGAUAAUGCCGGUACCUGAGGAGGAAGCCACGGCUAAAUCCUUGCCAGCAGCCGCGGUAAUACGGAGGUGCCGAGCGCUGUGCGGUAUUACUGGGCGUAAAGGGAGCGUGGGCGGAAUGUGAUGUGAGAUGUGAAAUCCUCGGGCUCAACCUGAGAGCUGCAUUUCAAACUGGAAGUCUAGAGUGCAGGAGAGGAGAAUGGAAUUCAUAGUGUAGCGGUGAAAUGCGUAGAGAUUAGGAGGAACACCAGUGGCGAAGGCGAUUCUCUGGAAUGUAACUGACGCUGAGGCUCGAAAGCGUGGGGAGCAAACAGGAUUAGAUACCCUUGUAGUC